This 73-nucleotide transfer RNA is filed under the name Tieghemiomyces parasiticus. It matches the Rfam family "tRNA". From Rfam's summary of the family: Transfer RNA (tRNA) molecules are approximately 80 nucleotides in length. Lineage: Eukaryota; Fungi; Kickxellomycota; Dimargaritomycetes; Dimargaritales; Dimargaritaceae. The record is from Rfam by way of RNAcentral.
GGUUUCAUAGUGUAGUUGGUUAUCACUCGGGAUUCUGAUUCCCGCGACCCGAGUUCGAGUCUCGGUGAGACCU